Molecule: ribosomal RNA, 467 nt
Filed under: uncultured bacterium
Lineage: Bacteria
Description: partial 16S ribosomal RNA
Rfam family: Bacterial small subunit ribosomal RNA
Source: RNAcentral
GACGAACGCUGGCGGCGUGCUUAACACAUGCAAGUCGAACGGAAAGGCCCUGCUUUUGUGGGGUGCUCGAGUGGCGAACGGGUGAGUAACACGUGAGUAACCUGCCCUUGACUUUGGGAUAACUUCAGGAAACUGGGGCUAAUACCGGAUAGGAGCUCCUGCUGCAUGGUGGGGGUUGGAAAGUUUCGGCGGUUGGGGAUGGACUCGCGGCUUAUCAGCUUGUUGGUGGGGUAGUGGCUUACCAAGGCUUUGACGGGUAGCCGGCCUGAGAGGGUGACCGGCCACAUUGGGACUGGGAUACGGCCCAGACUCCUACGGGAGGCAGCAGUGGGGAAUAUUGCACAAUGGGCGGAAGCCUGAUGCAGAAACGCCGCGUGCGGGAGGACGGCCUUCGGGUUGUAAACCGCUUUCGCCUGUGACGAAGCGUGGGUGACGGUAAUGGGAAAAGAAGCACCGGCUAACUACGU